AUCGCUGGGUAGCUAUGUGCGGAAGGGAUAAGUGCUGAAAGCAUCUAAGCAUGAAGCCCCCCCUCAAGAUGAGAUUUCCCACAGUUUUAACUGGUAAGAUCCCUGAAAGAUGAUCAGGUUGAUAGGUCCGGGGUGGAAGCGCGGUGACGCGUGUAGCUGACGGAUACUAAUCGAUCGAGGACUUAACCAA
This 190-nucleotide ribosomal RNA is filed under the name Heyndrickxia coagulans. Its description in RNAcentral is "Bacillus coagulans partial 23S ribosomal RNA". It matches the Rfam family "Bacterial large subunit ribosomal RNA", at positions 2737 to 2925 of the family's 2925-position model. The record is from RNAcentral. Lineage: Bacteria; Bacillati; Bacillota; Bacilli; Caryophanales; Bacillaceae.